Molecule: ribosomal RNA, 644 nt
Filed under: uncultured Actinomycetes bacterium
Lineage: Bacteria; Bacillati; Actinomycetota; Actinomycetes
Description: bacterial SSU rRNA
Rfam family: Bacterial small subunit ribosomal RNA
Source: RNAcentral
CGCGGCCUAUCAGCUUGUUGGCGAGGUAACGGCUCACCAAGGCUUCGACGGGUAGCUGGUCUGAGAGGACGGACAGCCACACUGGGACUGAGACACGGCCCAGACUCCUACGGGAGGCAGCAGUGGGGAAUAUUGCGCUAAUGCGCGAAAGCGUGACGCAGCGACGCCGCGUGGGGGAUGAAGGCCCUCGGGUCGUAAACCCCUUUCGCCAGGGACGAAGGGAAACUGACGGUACCUGGAGAAGAAGUCCCGGCUAACUACGUGCCAGCAGCCGCGGUAACACGUAGGGGACGAGCGUUGUCCGGAUUCAUUGGGCGUAAAGCGCGCGUAGGCGGUCGUGUAAGUCGGAUGUGAAAAUCCCGGGCUCAACCCGGGACCUGCACCCGAUACUGCACGACUCGAGGUAGGUAGGGGAGAUCGGAAUUCCUGGUGUAGCGGUGAAAUGCGCAGAUAUCAGGAGGAACACCGGUGGCGAAGGCGGAUCUCUGGGCCUUACCUGACGCUGAGGCGCGAAAGCUAGGGGAGCGAACAGGAUUAGAUACCCUGGUAGUCCUAGCCGUAAACGUUGGAUGCUAGGUGUGGGUGAACAUCGACCCCAUCCGUGCCGAAGCUAACGCAUUAAGCACCCCGCCUGGGGAGUACGG